AUGAACGCUGGCGGCGUGCCUAAUACAUGCAAGUCGAGCGAACAGACGAGGAGCUUGCUCCUCUGACGUUAGCGGCGGACGGGUGAGUAACACGUGGAUAACCUACCUAUAAGACUGGGAUAACUUCGGGAAACCGGAGCUAAUACCGGAUAAUAUAUUGAACCGCAUGGUUCAAUAGUGAAAGACGGUUUUGCUGUCACUUAUAGAUGGAUCCGCGCCGCAUUAGCUAGUUGGUAAGGUAACGGCUUACCAAGGCAACGAUGCGUAGCCGACCUGAGAGGGGGGUCGCCCACACGGGAAGAGACCCACGGCCCAGCCCCCUAGGGAGGGCACCAGAGGGAAUCUUCCCGGAAGGGGGAAAACUUGGACGAACCACCCCGGGGGGAGUGAGAAGGUUCUUGGAACCGAAAACCUUUUUUAUGGGGAAAAAAAAAAUGGGAAGGUAACUAGCCCCGUUUUGACGGUACUAACACAAAAACCCGCGCCUACCUACGC
This 495-nucleotide ribosomal RNA is filed under the name uncultured bacterium. Its description in RNAcentral is "partial 16S ribosomal RNA". It matches the Rfam family "Bacterial small subunit ribosomal RNA", at positions 29 to 506 of the family's 1533-position model. The record is from RNAcentral.